Molecule: ribosomal RNA, 1282 nt
Filed under: uncultured bacterium
Lineage: Bacteria
Description: partial 16S ribosomal RNA
Rfam family: Bacterial small subunit ribosomal RNA
Source: RNAcentral
GGACGAACGCUGGCGGCGUGCCUAACACAUGCAUUUCGAACGGGGUAAUUUCUUUCGGGAGAUUACUUAGUGGCGAACGGGUGAGUAACGCGUGAGGAACCUGCCUUUCAGUGGGGGACAACAGUUGGAAACGACUGCUAAUACCGCAUAACACAGACGGACCGCAUGAUCUGUCUGUCAAAGCUUUAAGUGCUGAAAGAUGGCCUCGCGUCUGAUUAGCUAGUUGGUGGGGUAACGGCCUACCAAGGCGACGAUCAGUAGCCGGUCUGAGAGGAUGAACGGCCACAUUGGGACUGAGAUACGGCCCAGACUCCUACGGGAGGCAGCAGUGGGGAAUAUUGGGCAAUGGGGGAAACCCUGACCCAGCAACGCCGCGUGGAGGAAGAAGGUUUUCGGAUCGUAAACUCCUGUCCUCAGGGAAGAGCAGAAGACGGUACCUGAGGAGGAAGCCCCGGCUAACUACGUGCCAGCAGCCGCGGUAAUACGUAGGGGGCAAGCGUUGUCCGGAAUGAUUGGGCGUAAAGGGCGCGUAGGCGGCCCGGUAAGUCUGGAGUGAAAGUCCUGCUUUUAAGGUGGGAAUUGCUUUGGAUACUGUCGGGCUUGAGUGCAGGAGAGGUAAGUGGAAUUCCCAGUGUAGCGGUGAAAUGCGUAGAGAUUGGGAGGAACACCAGUGGCGAAGGCGACUUACUGGACUGUAACUGACGCUGAGGCGCGAAAGUGUGGGGAGCAAACAGGAUUAGAUACCCUGGUAGUCCACACUGUAAACGAUGAUUACUAGGUGUCGGCAGGCAGGGCCUGUCGGUGCCGUCGCAAACGCAGUAAGUAAUCCACCUGGGGAGUACGUUCGCAAGAAUGAAACUCAAAGGAAUUGACGGGGACCCGCACAAGCGGUGGAGCAUGUGGUUUAAUUCGAAGCAACGCGAAGAUCCUUACCAAAUCUUGACAUCCUUCUGACGUACCCGUAAUGGGGUAUUUCCUUCGGGACAGAAGAGACAGGUGGUGCAUGGUUGUCGUCAGCUCGUGUCGUGAGAUGUUGGGUUAAGUCCCGCAACGAGCGCAACCCUUAUCUUUAGUAGCCAGCAGUAAGAUGGGAACUCUAGAGAGACUGCCGGGGAUAACCCGGAGGAAGGUGGGGAUGACGUCAAAUCAUCAUGCCCCUUAUGAUUUGGGCUACACACGUGCUACAAUGGCGUAAACAAAGGGAAGCGAGCCUGUGAAGGUAAGCAAAUCUCAAAAAUAACGUCUCAGUUCGGAUUGUAGUCUGCAACUCGACUACAUGAAG